GGGGGGGGGGAGGGGGGGGGCGGGCGCAGGGGGGGGGGGCGGGAGUUGUGCUUCGGGACAGGGAGAGCGGCGCACGGGUGCGGAACACGUGUGCAACCUGCCUUGAUCUGGGGGAUGGCCUUUCGAAAGGAGGAUUAAUACCCCAUAAUAUAUUGAGUGGCAUCAUUUGAUAUUGAAAACUCCGGUGGCUCGCGAUGGGCACGCGCAAGAUUAGCUAGUUGGUGAGGUAACGGCUCACCAAGUCAAUGAUCUUUAGGGGGCCUGAGAGGGUGAUCCCCCACACUGGUACUGAGACACGGACCAGACUCCUACGGGAGGCAGCAGUGAGGAAUAUUGGACAAUGGGUUAGCGCCUGAUCCAGCCAUCCCGCGUGAAGGACGACGGCCCUAGGGGUUGUAAACUUCUUUUGUAUAGGGAUAAACCUACUCUCGUGAGAGUAGCUGAAGGUACUAUACGAAUAAGCACCGGCUAACUCCGUG
This 479-nucleotide ribosomal RNA is filed under the name uncultured bacterium. RNAcentral's name for it is "partial 16S ribosomal RNA". It matches the Rfam family "Bacterial small subunit ribosomal RNA", at positions 27 to 507 of the family's 1533-position model. The record is from RNAcentral.